RNAcentral lists this ribosomal RNA (503 nucleotides) under uncultured bacterium. RNAcentral's name for it is "partial 16S ribosomal RNA". It matches the Rfam family "Bacterial small subunit ribosomal RNA", at positions 30 to 523 of the family's 1533-position model. The record is from RNAcentral.
AUUGAACGCUGGCGGCAGGCUUAACACAUGCAAGUCGAGCGGGGUGAUGGUGCUUGCACUAUCACUUAGCGGCGGACGGGUGAGUAAUGCUUAGGAAUCUGCCUAUUAGUGGGGGAUGACAUCUCGAAAGGGAUGCUAAUACCGCAUACGUCCUACGGGAGAAAGCAGGGGAUCACUUGUGACCUUGCGCUAAUAGAUGAGCCUACGUCGGAUUAGCUAGUUGGUGGGGUAAAGGCCUAACAAGGCGACGAUCUGUAGCGGGUCUGAGAGGAUGAUCCGCCACAAUGGGACUGAGACACGGCCCAGGCUCCUACGGGAGGCAGCAGUGGGGAAUAUUUGACAAUGGGGGGAACCCUGAUCCAGCCAUGCCGCGUGUGUGAAGAAGGCCUUAUGGUUGUAAAGCACUUUAAGCGAGGAGGAGGCUCUUUUGGUUAAUACCCAAGAUGAGUGGACGUUACUCGCAGAAUAAGCACCGGCUAACUCUGUGCCAGCCGCCGCAGUAA